Molecule: ribosomal RNA, 253 nt
Filed under: uncultured bacterium
Lineage: Bacteria
Description: partial 16S ribosomal RNA
Rfam family: Bacterial small subunit ribosomal RNA
Source: RNAcentral
UACGGAGGGUGCAAGCGUUAUCCGGAUUCACUGGGUUUAAAGGGUGCGUAGGUGGGCUUGUAAGUCAGUGGUGAAAUCUCCGGGCUUAACUCGGAAACUGCCAUUGAUACUAUAGGUCUUGAAUUAUCUGGAGGUCAGCGGAAUAUGUCAUGUAGCGGUGAAAUGCUUAGAUAUCAGGAGGAACACCGGCGGUGUAGACGGCUUACUAGACCAUAACUGACGCUGAGGCACGAAAGCGUGGGUAGCAAACAGG